AACCAUAGAAACCUGCGGAGUACCUGCGGAGGGAUCAUUACGAGAGUGUCACCACUCCCAACCCAUUGUUUACCUACCCGUCCACCGUGCUUCGGCAGGCAGCCCUGUGGGACAGAGCCUCGCCCCCUUUCGCGGGGGGUGCCUGCCGCUUGCCAACCAAAACUCUAGCUGUUUUAGUACCAUCUGAGUCUUCCACAAAUGAACAAAACUUUCAGCAAUGGAUCUCAGAUCGGAAGAGCA
Molecule: unclassified non-coding RNA, 240 nt
Filed under: soil metagenome
Description: partial contains 5.8S ribosomal RNA, internal transcribed spacer 2, and large subunit ribosomal RNA
Source: RNAcentral